Molecule: ribosomal RNA, 376 nt
Filed under: uncultured Legionella sp.
Lineage: Bacteria; Pseudomonadati; Pseudomonadota; Gammaproteobacteria; Legionellales; Legionellaceae
Description: bacterial SSU rRNA
Rfam family: Bacterial small subunit ribosomal RNA
Source: RNAcentral
UUAGCUGGUCUGAGAGGAUGGCCAGCCACACUGGGACUGAGACACGGCCCAGACUCCUACGGGAGGCAGCAGUGGGGAAUAUUGGACAAUGGGGGSAACCCUGAUCCAGCAAUGCCGCGUGUGUGAAGAAGGCCUGAGGGUUGUAAAGCACUUUCAGUGGGGAGGAGGGUUGAUUGGUUAAGAGCUGAUUAAUUGGACGUUACCCACAGAAGAAGCACCGGCUAACUCCGUGCCAGCAGCCGCGGUAAUACGGAGGGUGCGAGCGUUAAUCGGAAUUACUGGGCGUAAAGGGUGCGUAGGUGGUUUAAUAAGUUAUCUGUGAAAUCCCUGGGCUUAACCUGGGCAGGUCAGAUAAGACUGUUAGACUCGAGUAUGG